AGCUUUGCACAGUGGCAGUAUCGUAACCAUUGAGGUUUAUCUGAGGCGUGAUUAUUGCUAGGAAAAAUAAAAAGAGGAAAAGAGGUUCUUUUUUAUUUUCUUUGAUUCAUCUCUCGCAGCCUGAAAUAGAUAUCUUUGAUGACUUUUCUCAUUUGGAAAUAAGAGUCACACACAAAG
Molecule: small nuclear RNA, 177 nt
Organism: Myotis lucifugus (little brown bat)
Lineage: Eukaryota; Metazoa; Chordata; Mammalia; Chiroptera; Vespertilionidae
Gene: U4
Rfam family: U4 spliceosomal RNA
About the family: U4 small nuclear RNA (U4 snRNA) is a component of the major U2-dependent spliceosome. The structure of U4 snRNA from yeast and human has been reported. U4 snRNA presents a k-turn RNA motif in the 5p-SL related to recognition of Snu13 protein.
Source: Ensembl